CCUAUCAGUUUGAGUCCAAUCUGCAACAACAGACCAUAGACCCGAGCCACCUUAGCAAGCUGGACUGGAGCAGGAAAAGAAGCUCACCCACUACCAGGCAGUCGGAAGCAGGGAAAACGGAUCCUCUCCAGAGAAGGGCGAAUAAAGUCUCCAAUGGACUUCGCAUCACAAUAUUCAUAACUUGGAAUACUUUUAUGAAAAACCCUUUUCUGAUUAUUUUUUAUCCAUGGACCCAUAUGGACUAAAGGAAUAUAAACAAUUGAGAAAUGGACAGACAAUCCGACUUCAGGAGGACGAGUAAGGACAAAGCUUGUCUGUGGACUGAGUCAGGCUAGCUGUUUCCCCCCGUUUCCAGUCUUUAUGCUAAGGUCCCCGCGCCGUGUCCCCUCCGAAGACCAUGAUGCAAACCUGAUGUAACAAAAUGUACACGAGAAGCCCAGACACAUCUAAAUAAUGUAUAAGUGAUACGUCUUGUUAGCCUUGACUCACAGGUUCAGUUGUCUUCUUGUGCACCAAAUGAUCAAUGUCCUCCUAUUAUCGUCAUGCACUCUCUCCAGUUCCAUUCCCAAUUCUCCCCGCCUCUCCCCGGGUCUUUCAUGUUGCCCUCUGGGAGCCAAACAAAACAUGGUUUUCUACUGCAAAUAAGGAGCUAAAACACCAUGUGAUCAGUCAUGAAUUAUUUGAACGCUAUUGAUUUGUAUAAAUUGUUGCA
Long non-coding RNA from Seriola aureovittata, 712 nucleotides. RefSeq lists it as uncharacterized. The transcript is spliced from 3 exons. The record is from RefSeq and is a predicted model, not a curated record. NCBI's taxonomy places the organism in Eukaryota, Metazoa, Chordata, Actinopteri, Carangiformes, Carangidae.